Antechinus flavipes (yellow-footed antechinus) is the source of this 1253-nucleotide long non-coding RNA. RefSeq lists it as uncharacterized. NCBI's taxonomy places the organism in Eukaryota, Metazoa, Chordata, Mammalia, Dasyuromorphia, Dasyuridae. The record is from RefSeq and is a predicted model, not a curated record. The transcript is spliced from 2 exons.
CCGAGACAGCCCGCAGUCUGAUCUAGGUUAAAUAUCUGUAACUCCUUUAAACGUAUCUCCACGUUUGUCAUGUUGUGCAAGAAAAUUCAGCUCAAAAGGGAAAGAACAAACGAGGUGAAAAUACCAGCUGCUGAUCUCUAUUUCCCCAUAGUUCUCUCCGGACGCAGAUGACCCUUUUCAGCACAGACCUAUUGGAUCGGCCUUGAAUCACCACAUUGCUGAGAAGAGCCGAGUCCUUUCCGUUAUCUUCUUGUUUCUGGGUACAACGUUCUCCCGGUUCCGCUCGCCCCGCUCAUCAUCCGUUCUUGUACCUUCUUCCAGGCUUUUCCGAAACCAGCCCGUUCCUCAUUUCUUGGAGCACAACAGCGUCCGCGCCAUUCAUCCACCAUAACUCCCUCAGCCGCUCCCCCGCCGACGGCAGCCACUCCGUUUCCAGUUCCUUAUUCCUACAAAGAGGGCGGCCACAGACAUUUGUGCACACAUGGCGGUUUCUAUCCAAAGUACAUUGGGAUUGCCUUGGAUCACCGAACCAAGUCUUUCAUUGUCGAUCAUCACCCACUCUUGCUAUUAUUGUGUACAGUGUAUUCUGGUUCUGCGCGUUUCGCUCAGCAUCCGUUCAUAUAAAUCUUUCCAGGCCUUUCUAAAAUCAGCUUGUUAUAGGACAAUAAUAUUCCAUUACCUUCGUAUACCACAACUUGUUCAGCCAUUCCUCAAUUGAGGGACACCCACUCAUUUUCCAAUUCUUUGCUACCACACAAAGGGCCGUCACAAACAUUUUUGCACAUGUGGGUCCCUUUCCUUCCUUUAUGAUUUCCUUGUAAAACAGACCCACUAAUGGCACUGCUGGGUCAAAGGAUAUACACAGUUUGAUAGCCCUUUGGGGAUAAUUCCAGAUUGCUCUCCAGAAUGGAGAUCAGUUCACAACUCCACCAACAAUGCAUCAGUGUCCCAGUUUUCCCACAUCCCCUCCAACUUUUAUCAUUACCUUUUCCUGUCAUCUUAGCCAAUCUGAGAAGUGUGAGAUGGUACCUCAGAGUUGUUUUUUUUUUUAAUUGUGCAAAAACUUUUCAAUUUAAUGUAAUCAAAAUUAUUCAUUUUUUGUUAAAAAAAAAAAAAAAGCAUGUUCUGAAGUUCUCCUUUGGCCAUAAAUUCCUCCCUGCUCUACAGAUCUGAGAGCUAGACUAUCCCUUGCUCUCCUAAUUUGCUUAUAGUAUCACCCUUUAUGUCUAAAUCAUAAAUCUGUUUCAACCUCA